Molecule: long non-coding RNA, 4831 nt
Organism: Lactuca sativa (garden lettuce)
Lineage: Eukaryota; Viridiplantae; Streptophyta; Magnoliopsida; Asterales; Asteraceae
Source: RefSeq, a predicted model, not a curated record
UGGUACAACAUGGGGUACAGUACACAACUCACUAGCUGUAGGGAUUGCAAAAUUUUAAAGGGUCCCACACCCAAUUAAGCUUUAGUCAUCUCAUAGACCCCAUGGAGACAACACAACCCCAAUAUGAAUCCUUACUUAUAAAUGAUGAAGAAAGUAGAUCUGUUUCUUGUAAUUGAGUUCCCAUAUAUCCCCAUCAAAAUCUCUCUCUCUCUGGAGAGAGAGAGAGAGAGAGAGAGAGAGAGAGAGAGAGAGAAUGGUUGGUGUAGGUGUAAGUUUCUGAAAGAAAUGAAAAUUGCGUACGGAGGGUUCCCGAUUAAAAGAAGGUGGGUGAUGAGCAAGAUGGAGAAGCAGGGCACGUGCAUUACUAACUCAUCAUGAAGACCUACAAAAGUUUUGCGUUAAUUAAACCUUGAAGGUGUUAAUCCAACGUACCUAACCCAGCCAAAUAGCCUUGACGUCUGGAGUUGAUGGUUUAACCCUUGUAUAUUUCUUUGCGAUUCACCUACAGAUCUUUGAAUAAUUUAGCCACUUGAAUACUUCAAUUACACUCCAUUUUAGUGGAUGCAACAAGUGAGUUAGUGGUUCAUGUGCCCAUCUUCGCCAUCAUGACAACCCAACCUUUGUACAAGAUUACAGCUGGCCAAGGUAGCUUCAUUUAUUCAGCUUUUGUGGAGUUAUCCUUGUAAUUAAUUAACAAAGUAAGUCGUUCUCUUAAUUUCUUUAUAUAUUGAUGGAAAUUAACAACUGAUGUUUUAUGACUGAAGGCGAAAUCUACAGCUUGAAAAUUUACUUUGUAUAAUGUAUAAUUUUGUUAUAGAUGAUAGGUUAUUAUACGUACGGUCUUUGUGACUGUUAGUUUCAUUAUCAUUUGUUCUAUGGUGAGGCCUUUCUUUUUUUUUUUCUUUUUUUUUUUCAGUUACAGUUGUCGGUGUCCUUCGUCAUACUUUAUUUUGUAGCAUAUAGUUUCUUUUUUAUUUAUUCAUCUAUUUUUUUUUUUUUUUUUCAUUUCAAAAAGACCUGGUUUCGCUGUGUAGUGCAGAAAGUAUGAUUAUCAGGAAAUAAAAUCGACAAGUAUCUUGAUUGAGGAGGAACUACCCCAAAUAAUUUUAUGGUCGAAGAAUUCGUAUAAAUAAAUAUAUUUUUUUCUUCUUUUGCGAAAAGCAACCAAAAACUUCUUUAUACUUUUAGUUUAUUAUUUCAGAUUUAACAUUAUUGGGUGUGUAUAUCUAAUCAUGUGUGAGAUCACAGCUAGAAAAUCCACCACAAUGGCCGGUAUUAUAUUAUGCCUAACGUAGAGGGGAGUGGACUCGGCAAACACCGGGACGCCUCCUCUAUAUGCAAAGGUCGGCAUUUGAACUUAGCAGGUAGAUACCGAGUCUCUCUCUGGUUUUUUUUUUCUCCCACCAUGACCCUCUCUCUCUUCUCCCUCAUCCACUUCCUUUGUCAUUGUAAAGAGAUUUCGGCAACCACAUGAGUUGAUGUGUAACUCGGCAAAUGUUGCCAUGACUCCUCCAACCUUAUGCGUUUAGUUUUUAUGGUUUUGUUUGAUUUUUGAUUAUUUAUUGUCAUAUUUUUUAUAAUUGAUCGGAAAUUAAUAUUUUAUUUUUAAGUGAUUUUUUAUUAAUUUUUAUCUUUAUUUAAAAUUUUAUUUAUUAUUUAUUAUUUAUUAUAUGCAAUUUUAAAAUAACCUUUUAACUUAAAAAAUAUAUUUUUUUUAAUCUAAUCUUAACCCUAAACCUAUCAUUUUCAUCCUAUCUCCUUCUUCAUUUUGCGAAAUUCCGCCACCUCUAAAAUCCAACUUCAACAUCUACAAAACCUCCUUAAUACUACAUCGCAGGCGCCACAUUCAACAUCUAUAAUUCCGCCUCAACAUUUCAUCUUCGACACCACCUUCAACUUUCCUAAUGUCGCCUUCAAAAUCCAAAAUCGCAAAAUUCUUUCCAGAUCUUAAUAUCCACCACAAAUCUCAUCCACGUUUAUCUUCUACGUUGCUAUCUCCUUCUCUCUGUCACCUUUGAUUCAUCGAGAUUUUUGUCUCCAGUUCUCUUCUUCAUCUUCGAUUCACAUUGUUACGUCCCAAUUUUCAAAUUGAUUUUUUUUUUCUUUUAAAAGAGUCAUUAAACAACUAUUUCUCAUAAAGGUGAAAUACUAAAUAUUUCCAAAACCACAAAACCAUAACAUGUGAAAUCAAUGUAUCAAAUCAUCAGAAGUAGGGAAAGUUUAAGAACAUAAACAUAAAAGAUGCGUAUUCGUAGCUCUCAAGGCGUGCACAAGUUUUUAGUGGCAUAUUCCUUUUUGUGACACUAUAUUUAUUUUUAAUGAUACAUAUUAUUUUGUACCUCUAUAUCACCUCUAUUUUGGUUUUCCCGCCUUUGAUUCCCCAAAAACUAAAAGCUUCCCAUUGCCAGAUCAUUUUCAUUUUCAACUUUUAAUUUACAAUCAGUGUUAGAAUUUUAACCUAAUUUCCCACACCAAAAAAAUCAUAUGAACGUUUCUCCUACCACACUAGUUUCUAUGGAAUAUUCUUAAUAUUCAAUUCAUGUCCACGUUCCUCACCCCCCAUUUUAUAGAGCUCCUCUUGAAAUCAAAAUUCACUGCUUUACCACGUUCGCCACUUGAUAGAGAAGACGAAGUUGUUUGUGGUUUUAGGUUUGAAGAUGACUGUUUCAGGUAAUGAUUCAGAUUAUUGAUGUUGUUAUUAUCGCAAAAUUCGAGAAGUUGCAUUGGGUUCCUCUUUUAGAUGGAGAAGAGAGGUAACAAUAGGUCAGUUUCAAUUUAGGGUUAAAUGUGCGCAUCAUGGAGUUCCUAUUUUUUAUUUAAGGUUUAUAGUUGGAUGUGUGUGUUCCCAAUUACUGAUUUAGGGUUUAUAGUUGCUCAAAAUUUCAUGAUAAUAUCAUUUUCUUUGCUUGUAUCAACCCCCAAAUUUAUUUAUGUUUCAUCUUAGUAAGGCUAAUUUCUAAUUUUCAAAUUCAAAUGUGCAGUGAAGAACUUUUAUAAAUUUUUGUUGUUGAAUGCUUCAGAAGAAACUAAAUACCAUGGUGUCCUUGAAACCCUAAUAUCGAACCCUAGCCUUUAGAGUGAAGAUCUUGGAGCCUUUUUGGUAAUUUUUGUGCAUUCAUGUUGAGGAAGAAGGUCAUUGAAGAAGGUGAUGUUGCAUACAAGCUUGUAGAUCCAGAAACUACCUCACUUUUUGCAUCUUUUGAAGGUAUAAAGUUCAAACAUUGAUGAUGUUCUUUCUAGAUCUCUUUAGAUGGGUUUUAGGAGAUAUUUGUCCCAAAGCUUGGACCUUUGUGAGUAUGGGGUGCUCCAGAGCAUAUUGGAUGUCCUUUUAGAUAUAUUAGUGUGCUUAGAUUCAUAAAGAAGGUUGCUUGAUCGUUUCCCUUGGCCCAUGCAUGAGUUAAGUUACUAAAAGUGUCUUAGAAGUUAAGAUUUGUGUAUUGAGCCCUAUCUAGCCAUGCAAAGGCUUAAAGUCAGUAAAUUUAUUGGUUAAAUCAUUCUACAAUGGUCAGAUAUGAAGUUUGGAUAAGUGUCUUAAAGGAUUAAGACAUAAAAUUUGUUGAUUAUGGACCAGGCAAAGUACAUUGGGUGUACUCCUAGCUACGCCCCGCAUAGCCAGGCCCAUCCCCGAUGAUUGCUGACUCAAGUUGUACGACCCGCGUAGAAAGUGUACACCCUGCAUAUAGACGAGAAUGUAGCUAGGCUUGUUUACUUUUGCUGACUUUUGACUUUGGUCAAAAGAUUUAGGGUUUUGGACCAUGGAAGGGAAAAAUUGUCUUUUUUGCCAUUGGACCUAUGAGUCGGGUUAUAACCUUAACUUACUACGGGUACUUGUUGUGGUUAUUAGGCAAAUUCUAGCUCCGACAAUAUGAGUGUUAGAUUUAUAUCUCAUCAGUAUCAGGUGAGUCUCCUCACUUAUUCUUAUUUGUGUUCCAAAAUAGUUGUAUUUUUGAUGACCAGCUGGGUCUAGCUACUACUAUUGUGUUAUCUGUUUACGUGCAAUUAAGACUUCAAGUAGUCUCCAGGGUUGCUGAUAAUGUAACGCCCGCAUUUCCAGGCUAGGCAUUAUUGUUGAUGUAAUAGUCUAGGUUAACCUUUUUAAUUCUUUUGAAGUAUUAAUGAUGAAAUAUUUGAGUAUUAUGUGGAUUAUAUGUAUUUGUAUACUUAUUACUUAAUUAUAAAGAUAUAAUUAAUAAAGGAUAAGAAUAAGUGUCAAAAUGGAAUUCAUAACGCUAUGCUAACAAGAAGCGAAGGCCGAUGACCUUCGAAGUUGGAGAUUCGGUUUUGCUUAAAGUCUUGCCGUGGAAGGGACUUAUAAGAUUUGGUAAAAGGGGAAAGUUAAGUCCAAGGUUUAUUGGACCGUUUAAAGUUCUUCAGAGGGUUGGGAACCAAGAUUACAAGCUCGAAUUACCCGAAGAGUUGAAUGGAAUUCAUAACACUUUCCAUGUGUGUUAUUUGAGGAAGUUCACGGGAGAAGUUCCCGAUAUAAUUCCAAUUUCUGAAUUGAGAAUUGAUGAAAACAAAAGGUUAAUUGAAGAACCUGAGACAAUUGUUGACCGAAAGACUAAGAAGCUUUGACGCAAGAUGGUCGAAUUAGUUCUUGUCCGUUGGAAACAUUCGAAUGGGCCAAAUCUCAACUGGGAAAUGGAGAGUGACAUGUUGCUAUCCGCAUUUGUUUGUUGAUGUGUGAUUCUGGGGACGGAAUCAUCCUAAGGGGGAGAGAAUUGUAACGCCCGCGUUUCCAGGCUAGGCAUUAUUGUUGAUGUAAUAGUCUAGGUUAACCUUUGUAAUUCUUUUGAAGUAUUAAUGAUGAAAUAUUUGAGUAUUAUGUGAA